RNAcentral lists this unclassified non-coding RNA (690 nucleotides) under Melitaea cinxia (Glanville fritillary). RNAcentral's name for it is "misc RNA ENSMCXG00005009599.1". Lineage: Eukaryota; Metazoa; Arthropoda; Insecta; Lepidoptera; Nymphalidae. The record is from RNAcentral.
UUCGUCGAAUUAUUAUUCUCAUCGCUAGGCAUUUCGCUAUUAGCGUGUUUCGUGUGACGUAGGGCUGCGUAAGCAGUCAUUGGUGGGGUUCGCGUUGUAGAUUAGGCUCGGCGCUAUAUAAGCGCUAGCGCUGUGCGGGUCCUUCUUUUUCCUUGGUCUUCAGCCUCGAUCAGGUUCAAGUUGCGAUUUUGUUGGGGUCCUUGGCAUUGAGGACACGUUCGGUGCCGUUGUUGCCGGUGAUACCACGUAGCAGGAUUUUGUGGUUGGCUGCUAGGACCCCAACAUCUACGAUAAAGAACUGCUCAACCUCUUCGGAUCAGCAUCGGGAUUCUUCCCUUUAACCGAGCAAAAUUUUUUUAAGCCCGGCUGACCUCGUGAUGGAGAUGGAGUCGUGGAGUUUGGACAACUGAACUCGAGAGACUGGCGGGUGAUCAUCCUGGGAGUUUCUGCGAGCCACGUGUCACGGAGACCCGCUAUGAUAAGUGACCUCAGUUAACCUCCACCCACGUGGCAGAAACAAUCCGAACCCUCAGUGUAGUUUAAAUUAAUAUUAGAUUAAUCAAAAAUGUAUUUCGGUCCAUAGUGUAGAUUUAAGAUAAUUUCGGGUUGUGUUAAACUCGUUCGUUUAAUCCAUAAAAGGAAGAUAAAGUUGUUUGUUCAUUCAAAUUUGUAUUAAGCUUAAAAUUGUGU